UGAGGAAUAUUGGUCAAUGGGCGAGAGCCUGAACCAGCCAAGUAGCGUGCAGGAUGACGGCCCUAUGGGUUGUAAACUGCUUUUAUAUGGGAAUAAAGUGAGGGACGUGUCCCUUAUUGCAUGUACCAUAUGAAUAAGGACCGGCUAAUUCCGUGCCAGCAGCCGCGGUAAUACGGAAGGUCCAGGCGUUAUCCAGAUUUAUUGGGUUUAAAGGGAGCGUAGGCUGUUUGUUAAGCGUGUUGUGAAAUGUAAGAGCUCAACUUUUAGAUUGCAGCGCGAACUGGCAGACUUGAGUGCGCACAACGUAGGCGGAAUUCAUGGUGUAGCGGUGAAAUGCUUAGAUAUCAUGACGAACUCCGAUUGCGAAGGCAGCUUACGGGAGCGCAACUGACGCUAAAGCUCGAAGGUGCGGGUAUCGAACAGG
RNAcentral lists this ribosomal RNA (424 nucleotides) under Verrucomicrobiota bacterium. RNAcentral's name for it is "Verrucomicrobia bacterium partial 16S ribosomal RNA". It matches the Rfam family "Bacterial small subunit ribosomal RNA", at positions 355 to 776 of the family's 1533-position model. The record is from RNAcentral. Lineage: Bacteria; Pseudomonadati; Verrucomicrobiota.